GCGAACAAAGCAGUUAGGUGACUGCGACCGGGGAAGGCGCCUGAGUCGGUAGAGAGUGGUUCGAGUCCACUUGUUCGCGCCA
This 82-nucleotide transfer RNA is filed under the name Klebsiella oxytoca. RNAcentral's name for it is "tRNA-OTHER". RNAcentral also lists the same sequence under 2 other names. Lineage: Bacteria; Pseudomonadati; Pseudomonadota; Gammaproteobacteria; Enterobacterales; Enterobacteriaceae. The record is from RNAcentral.